AUGUUGGGUUAAGUCCCGCAACGAGCGCAACCCUUGUCUCAUGUUGCCAGCGGGUAAUGCCGGGGACUCGUGAGAGACUGCCGGGGUCAACUCGGAGGAAGGUGGGGAUGACGUCAAGUCAUCAUGCCCCUUAUGUCCAGGGCUUCACACAUGCUACAAUGGCCGGUACAAAGGGCUGCGAUGCCGUAAGGUUAAGCGAAUCCUUUUAAAGCCGGUCUCAGUUCGGAUUGGGGUCUGCAACUCGCCCCCAUGAAGUCGGAGUCGCUAGUAAUCGCAGAUCAGCAACGCUGCGGUGAAUACGUUCCCGGGCCUUGUACACACCGCCCGUCACGUCAUGAAAGUCGGUAACACCCGAAGCUAGUGGCCUAACCUUUUGGAGGGAGCUGUCGAAGGUGGGAUCGGCGAUUGGGACGAAGUCGUAACAAGGUAA
This 430-nucleotide ribosomal RNA is filed under the name uncultured Actinomycetes bacterium. RNAcentral's name for it is "bacterial SSU rRNA". It matches the Rfam family "Bacterial small subunit ribosomal RNA", at positions 1072 to 1499 of the family's 1533-position model. The record is from RNAcentral. Lineage: Bacteria; Bacillati; Actinomycetota; Actinomycetes.